GACGAACGCCGGCGGCGUGCCUAAUACAUGCAAGUAGAACGCUGAAGAGAGGAGCUUGCUCUUCUUGGAUGAGUUGCGAACGGGUGAGUAACGCGUAGGUAACCUGCCUGGUAGCGGGGGAUAACUAUUGGAAACGAUAGCUAAUACCGCAUAAUAGCAGUUAUUGCAUGAUAACUGUUUGAAAGGUGCAAAUGCAUCACUACCAGAUGGACCUGCGUUGUAUUAGCUAGUUGGUGGGGUAACGGCUCACCAAGGCGACGAUACAUAGCCGACCUGAGAGGGUGAUCGGCCACACUGGGACUGAGACACGGCCCAGACUCCUACGGGAGGCAGCAGUAGGGAAUCUUCGGCAAUGGACGGAAGUCUGACCGAGCAACGCCGCGUGAGUGAAGAAGGUUUUCGGAUCGUAAAGCUCUGUUGUAAGAGAAGAAACGAGUGUGAGAAGUGGAAAG
This 452-nucleotide ribosomal RNA is filed under the name Streptococcus mitis. RNAcentral describes it as "bacterial SSU rRNA". It matches the Rfam family "Bacterial small subunit ribosomal RNA", at positions 28 to 471 of the family's 1533-position model. Lineage: Bacteria; Bacillati; Bacillota; Bacilli; Lactobacillales; Streptococcaceae. The record is from RNAcentral.